GAUAUGGCUCAGGAUGAACGCUAGCUACAGGCUUAACACAUGCAAGUCGAGGGGCAGCAUGGUCUUAGCUUGCUAAGGCCGAUGGCGACCGGCGCACGGGUGAGUAACACGUAUCCAACCUGCCGUCUACUCUUGGACAGCCUUCUGAAAGGAAGAUUAAUACAAGAUGGCAUCAUGAGUUCACAUGUUCACAUGAUUAAAGGUAUUCCGGUAGACGAUGGGGA
RNAcentral lists this ribosomal RNA (224 nucleotides) under uncultured bacterium. RNAcentral's name for it is "partial 16S ribosomal RNA". It matches the Rfam family "Bacterial small subunit ribosomal RNA", at positions 15 to 231 of the family's 1533-position model. The record is from RNAcentral.